RNAcentral lists this ribosomal RNA (490 nucleotides) under uncultured bacterium. Its description in RNAcentral is "partial 16S ribosomal RNA". It matches the Rfam family "Bacterial small subunit ribosomal RNA", at positions 30 to 507 of the family's 1533-position model. The record is from RNAcentral.
AUUGAACGCUGGCGGCAGGCCUAACACAUGCAAGUCGAACGGUAACAGGAAGCAGCUUGCUGCUUCGCUGACGAGUGGCGGACGGGUGGGUAAUGUCUGGGAAACUGCCUGAUGGAGGGGGAUAACUACUGGAAACGGUAGCUAAUACCGCAUAACGUCGCAAGACCAAAGAGGGGGACCUUAGGGCCUCUUGCCAUCGGAUGUGCCCAGGUGGGAUUAGCUAGUAGGUGGGGUAACGGCUCACCUAGGCGACGAUCCCUAGCUGGUCUGAGAGGAUGACCAGCCACACUGGAACUGAGACACGGUCCAGACUCCUACGGGAGGCAGCAGUGGGGAAUAUUGCACAAUGGGCGCAAGCCUGAUGCAGCCAUGCCGCGUGUAUGAAGAAGGCCUUCGGGUUGUAAAGUACUUUCAGCGGGGAGGAAGGGAGUAAAGUUAAUACCUUUGCUCAUUGACGUUACCCGCAGAAGAAGCACCGGCUAACUCCGUG